CUUUCUAGUGAAGGCUCUGAACAAAAUGAAACAUGUUUAGUAAUGUAGCAUCAUUACAUGUGCCUAUCGACUCAAAUUAUGAAGAUUCUGAAAGCUUGAAAACAUCAUGCUUUAUUCAUGUACAGGUUCCAAGAGUCAAGCAAAUGACUGGGAAACAAAACUGAGUAUUACUGAGUUUUCGGUGAGCUUCAGACUAACAAUGCUUUGAGUUCAUUUGUUACUAUGGUUAUGCAGCCCAUAGGUUUUGUUGUCGUUGUUUACGAAUAAGUCCACUAUGUGCAUGCAGUGCCUCAAGACGUCAGAAGGGGGCGUGGGUCCCACCAAAGUUGAAUUAUAGAAAACGGCAAGCUGCCACAUGGAUACUGGAAAACAAACCAGAACCCUCUAAACAAGCUACAAGGUUUUAACUGCUCAGCCACCCCGAAGCUUCCCAAAAUUUCCGAUGAACUUAAACACUGUAUUUCCAUUGAUAUGUUAUCACAACACUGGUCGAUGGAGUUUCUGGAAAAUGGCAGUCAUAACUUUCAUCCGGAGAGCAUCCUUGCAUAUCUCAACUCAUGAACAAGGGUAGCGUUUCUGAGAGCUCUUCUCCAUUAUGCAGUCAUGGCCUGGGACAAGAGACUUCCAAGACCUUUGAUCUCCCGAAACUACAUCUUCCUGGUAUGGUGUUACCCACCUGCAGGCCGCUCAGUCUUCACAAGGGAGUCUUUUCCAGGAGUAAGUAAGUGGUGGACUGGGACAUAGGGAAAGCACAGGCAAGCCACAUCCUUGCCUAUCACACCUCAGUUAUACACUGCUAGCUUCCCCUCUU
RNAcentral lists this long non-coding RNA (811 nucleotides) under Mus spicilegus (steppe mouse). RNAcentral describes it as "lncRNA (ENSMSIG00000012612.1)". The record is from RNAcentral. Lineage: Eukaryota; Metazoa; Chordata; Mammalia; Rodentia; Muridae.